This 454-nucleotide ribosomal RNA is filed under the name uncultured bacterium. RNAcentral describes it as "partial 16S ribosomal RNA". It matches the Rfam family "Bacterial small subunit ribosomal RNA", at positions 28 to 507 of the family's 1533-position model. The record is from RNAcentral.
GAUGAACGCUGCCAGAAUGCUUAACACAUGCAAGUCAACUUGAACUUCGGUUUGGGUGGCGGACGGGUGAGUAACGCGUAAAGAACUUGCCUCACAGAUAGGGACAACAUUUGGAAACGAAUGCUAAUACCUGAUAUUAUGAUUUUAGGGCAUCCUAGGAUUAUGAAAGCUAUAUGCGCUGUGAGAGAGCUUUGCGUCCCAUUAGCUAGUUGGAGAGGUAACGGCUCACCAAGGCGAUGAUGGGUAGCCGGCCUGAGAGGGUGAUCGGCCACAAGGGGACUGAGACACGGCCCUUACUCCUACGGGAGGCAGCAGUGGGGAAUAUUGGACAAUGGACCAAGAGUCUGAUCCAGCAAUUCUGUGUGCACGAUGAAGUUUUUCGGAAUGUAAAGUGCUUUCAGUUGGGAAGAAAAAAAUGACGGUACCAACAGAAGAAGUGACGGCUAAAUACGUG